GCAUGGUGUGGGUAUGGGGCUUUGUAAAGGGAAGCAAUCUCAAUGCCAUUUAGACCAUAUACUGGUAGAAUACCCAUCUCCAUCACAAUCUAUGCACAUAAAUGGAAGUGUCUCUAACAGUAAGCAUUGAUGAUGUUGCUGUGAAAUGGCAAUCCCAUUUCAACUCGCAUUCAUUUCUAAUUGCAAAACAACGCUAUUGGUGAUUUUGUUCCUUCCUUCUUAGAAAAGAAAUAGGAGAGAGGUCUUUUCUCAUUGGCAAAAAAUCCUUUCUUCAGUUUCGUUUCCCUUCAAUGCCGCAGCCAUAGGAGAGAUUUCAAUGCUUCAGUCGGGGUUCUAGAUCCAAGGUUUCAUUUUCUUUUCUUUGAUUUUUUUGAAGAUGAAAAAGAGAAAAAUUGGUAACGUAGGGUGGGUUUUACUUUGACAUGGGUUUUCUUGUUUGAGCCCUGAUUGAUGAAUGAAAGUUCUAUUGGUUGGUGGGCAAGAUCUUGAAUCCUGAUGAGUGGGUUCCUCUGGGUUUCUUUGAAUUGCAGAGUGAAAUCCAGGUGGGUUUGGUUCCUAGCUUUCUGACCAGUUUGCUUUGUUCUGGUUUCUUGUGGUUGACAACGAAAUCAGGGCAUUGGGUUUUUCGUCACUCAUUUUAUCUUUCUUUGGCCUUCUUUGGUUUUUCAGAGACGAAGGGAAUGGGGUUUUUAUAACCGAAGUUAAAAGAUACAUAGGGUUUGGUUAUGGUGCUAUAGUUGUUUGAAUUGGAAUUCUAUCGAAACAAAGCUAAACUGUGCGAGAAAAGAAGGAAAAGGACAGGUUUUGUUUCUAUCUCUCAAUGAGUUUAUCUGGGUUUUUCCUGGUUUGUAUGCUCCAUUCUUUGGUAGCUCUGACUUGUGGUGCUCUGAUGAUGUUCUACUCCAAUGAGUUCUAUGCAUUUGGUCAUGGCUCUGAGACUGCUCAUAAACUUCAAGGGUCAACACCUCACGACCAGCUUUUGGUUCGAACCUCAGAUUCAUUCUCGGGUUUGCUUCUAUUUGUCAUUGGUUGUCUUCUGUUCAUGGUGGCUUUUGUCAAAGACAGAGAGUUUCAGAGUUUUUUUGCCAAAGGGUGUAUCUUGCUUCACAUUGCCAUGGCUCUUUGGAGGGUAUAUUUUGAGAGGAACCUUGAAGACCUUGCCUGGGAUUGGCCAAGGCAGGUUGUUGGGGAUAUUGCAUUAGCCCUUUCGUGGGUUUACCUUCUUGUGUAUUCAUGGAGGGAAAAGUAUGAUUAGUGGAGAAAGCUUCCAUUAAUUUUGCUAGAAAGCACGCCACUUGACAUUUUACCGAGGAAGGAAACUGUGAUUUGGUUUCUCUGCUUUUGCUUCUGCUUCAUGAUUAUAUGUUGGAGGUCCUUCUGCAACAAUUGGUGUUGAAUUAGCACAAGCAAUGAAGUCUCGAGAAGAUGGGAAAUGAAACAAAAAUUGAUUUGCCUUUUAGUAUAUUUGCCUACAUUUUGCUUGUUGUUUAUAUAUGAGAAAUAGAUGCAUACAUGUAUUUAUUCUUUAGUUCUCUUAUGGGUUGGGAUAAGGAACAUGGAGAACACAAACAAUUAUCUUUGCUGGAAAGAUGAUAUUUUCCUAUUGUUUAUACCAUGUUCUGUUAGAA
RNA transcript from Ziziphus jujuba (common jujube), 1628 nucleotides. RefSeq lists it as uncharacterized. NCBI's taxonomy places the organism in Eukaryota, Viridiplantae, Streptophyta, Magnoliopsida, Rosales, Rhamnaceae. The record is from RefSeq and is a predicted model, not a curated record. The transcript is spliced from 2 exons.